This 152-nucleotide ribosomal RNA is filed under the name Lepraria sp. MPN-7. RNAcentral's name for it is "5.8S ribosomal RNA". It matches the Rfam family "5.8S ribosomal RNA". From Rfam's summary of the family: 5.8S ribosomal RNA (5.8S rRNA) is a component of the large subunit of the eukaryotic ribosome. It is transcribed by RNA polymerase I as part of the 45S precursor that also contains 18S and 28S rRNA. Functionally, it is thought that 5.8S rRNA may be involved in ribosome translocation. The record is from RNAcentral. Lineage: Eukaryota; Fungi; Ascomycota; Lecanoromycetes; Lecanorales; Stereocaulaceae.
CUUUCAACAACGGAUCUYUUGGUUCUGGCAUCGAUGAAGAACGCAGCGAAAUGCGAUAAGUAAUGUGAAUUGCAGAAUUCAGUGAAUCAUCGAAUCUUUGAACGCACAUUGCGCCCCUCGGACUUCCGAGGGGCAUGCCUGUUCGAGCGUCA